RNAcentral lists this ribosomal RNA (485 nucleotides) under uncultured bacterium. Its description in RNAcentral is "bacterial SSU rRNA". It matches the Rfam family "Bacterial small subunit ribosomal RNA", at positions 38 to 518 of the family's 1533-position model. The record is from RNAcentral.
GGCGGUAUGCUUAACACAUGCAAGUCGAACGAGACGAGAUGGAAGGAUCCUUCCGGGUGACCGGAAAUCUUAGGAAAGUGGCGAACGGGUGAGUAACGCGUGGGUAACCUGCCCUAUGGAAAGGAAUAGCCUCGGGAAACUGGGAGUAAUGCCUUAUAAUACAUUGAAGUCGCAUGGCUUUGAUGUUAAACGCUCCGGUGCCAUAGGAUGGACCCGCGUCCCAUUAGCUAGUUGGUGAGAUAACAGCCCACCAAGGCGACGAUGGGUAACCGGUCUGAGAGGGCGAACGGUCACACUGGAACUGAGACACGGUCCAGACUCCUACGGGAGGCAGCAGUGGGGAAUAUUGCCGCAAUGGGGGAAACCCCGACGCAGCAAUACCGCGUGAGUGAAGAAGGUUUUCGGAUCGUAAAGCUCUGUUAUUGGGGAAGAAAAAAGACGGUACCCAAGAAGAAAGUCCCGGCUAACUACGUGCCAGCCGCCGC